Molecule: ribosomal RNA, 253 nt
Filed under: uncultured bacterium
Lineage: Bacteria
Description: partial 16S ribosomal RNA
Rfam family: Bacterial small subunit ribosomal RNA
Source: RNAcentral
UACAGAGGUCCCAAGCGUUGUUCGGAUUCACUGGGCGUAAAGGGUGCGUAGGCGGUCUGGUAAGUCUGAUGUGAAAUCUCACAGCUUAACUGUGAAACUGCAUUGGAUACUAUCCGGCUCGAGGAAUGGAGGGGAGACUGGAAUACUUGGUGUAGCAGUGAAAUGCGUAGAUAUCAAGUGGAACACCAGUGGCGAAGGCGAGUCUCUGGACAUUUCCUGACGCUGAGGCACGAAAGCCAGGGGAGCAAACGGG